CCCGACCUAGCUCAGGCUGGCUAGAGCGGUCGCCUGUAGAGCGACUUGUCCCCGGUUCAAAUCCGGGGGUCGGGA
RNAcentral lists this transfer RNA (75 nucleotides) under Candidatus Nanosalinarum sp. J07AB56. It matches the Rfam family "tRNA". From Rfam's summary of the family: Transfer RNA (tRNA) molecules are approximately 80 nucleotides in length. Their secondary structure includes four short double-helical elements and three loops (D, anti-codon, and T loops). The record is from Rfam by way of RNAcentral. Lineage: Archaea; Methanobacteriati; Methanobacteriota; Candidatus Nanohaloarchaea.